UUAAGUUCAGCGGGUAUCCCUACCUGAUCCGAGGUCAAAAGCAAAAGUAUAGACUUCAUGGACGCAAGCGUUCAGGUUCAGAGGCGCAAAUUGUGCUGCGCUCCCAGACUAGUACGCCGGCUGCCAAUUGCUUUAAGGCGAGUCCACGCACAAAGCGGGACAAACACCCAACACCAAGCAGAGCUUGAAGAUACAAAUGA
This 200-nucleotide unclassified non-coding RNA is filed under the name Ascomycota sp. RNAcentral describes it as "partial internal transcribed spacer 2". Lineage: Eukaryota; Fungi; Ascomycota. The record is from RNAcentral.